UCAUGUGAGACGCAAUCCUCAUUGCACCUGGUUAGUAGAUCAGCUUUGUACGCAUUUUUCUACACACCACCCAUUAGUAACUCAGUCCUUUCGUGUUUGUCUUUCAGUUCCAGUAUCAGACCCUGCCAUGUUUCAGACAUGUUUGUCACCAGAAAAGAGGACAGUCAACUGCUCAGCAGAGGGAGACGACACAGAGUUCUCUUUUUCUCUAGAUAAUAACCCAUUAAUACAGACUAAAGCUGGCGGUCCAAAGAAUAAAAGUGUCACUAUUAGCUUGAAUGGUCAGCUGACAGGAAACUUGCAUUGUAAGGUUCAGAACAAGGUCAGCAGUAAACAGACUGCCAUCCACCUUACAAGCUGUGAAGGGGCGUCUUUUCCAACUGUGACUGUCAUAGCAAGUUUGACCGUACCACUUCUUCUUUUGACUGUGUUUCUUGGUAUCAAACAGUGGAAAGUUAAAAAUAGCCGCACAAGUAUUAGAGAAGAUAAUGCAGAGGAUGAAAUUGUGUACUCAGAUGUCAGAGUGACUCGGGCUGCCCGAAGGAUGGAUGUUUAGGGUGCUGCUGACCACAGAAGAAUGAGCGGAUAAAUCACCUGAAGCAUGCAACCUUUUAUUUCAAGUGUAAACGUGACAGCUGUAUAUUAACAGAGCUACAAGAAAAUGAAACAAACUACUCACAAAAAUGUGGGAUAUUUUACUUUGGGGUGAAAUUUAUGAAAAACAUACAAAGUUCAAUCUGCAGUGAUACAUAAUGCAAUUGGGACAUUUACGUAGAAGCAUUCAAUGUUAUCUUCCUCACCUCCAACAAUUUAUCGGAACAAAGCCAAAAACAGUGGCGGGUAUACCCAAUGGAACGCCAAAGUGUUCAAAAUUAAAUAAAUGAAACAUCAGUAAAUUAGUAUCUGUAUCAAUAAAUAACAAUGAUUUAAUACGACAAUGAACUUGUGAAAUAUUUGAAUCGUCAGGAGGCAGCAGGACCACGUCACACUAGCUGUCAGGUUUGCAAACCCAGUGACUGAGCAGAAGGCGGUGGUCAGGUGACAGAAACAGGAUCAGAGCCGGAAGGACAGAAUCAGGCGACAGGAUCCAAGGAUAGGCUUGAAUUGUGGGUCGGGGUACAGAGUCGAGGUCAUGAACGGGGAGGCAGAUUCGGGCAUACGGAUCCAAAGGUUAGGCAGAGAGGGUUGGUCAGGAGACAGAAGCAAGGUUGUUUGUCCAGAAAGCAGAAGCCAAAGAAGUAUCCGACGUGGACAAGGGAGAGGAGGGAAAUCCAAGGAAGGAACACUGGAUACUACUCACACAAAGGCUUUUGAAAAUCUGGCACUGGUUAUCUGUCAGACAUCUGUAUAUAAGGAGCACAGGUGGAGCAGAUGGGGUGUAAUUAGGGAUCUGGCAGGGAAAGAGCAGGUGAAAACAAUCCUCCUAAAGCUGCAGCACAGAGGAGGCAGACAGAAAUGAUGCAAAUUUCUCACCAUGGCCUAUUAAUUUCAUAAUGGCACUUUACAACUGAAUAACUGUUGGCCAAUCAGCGUCAACGGGAUGUACUUGCAUCCUCAUUGGCUGAGCCUUACAUAGAGAUUAGUUUCCUGGGUACCUGCUCCCUGAGCAGCUACUGCGCCAGCUCAAGGUUUAGGAAGCUUGGUGGAGUUUCAUAAACUUUGUUCAGCUCUGGUUACCUAAGAAGAUCAAAUUGAGGGGAGUAAUUUAUCAUAUGAUGCUGUUUUGAGUUGUUUGGAUGACAUCUUUCAGAUGAUCGGGAUGAUAAUUGCUCUCCAGAAUGUUAGCAUCAACGACGCCAUUGUGGACACCCUAAGAGCCAUUGAGCACCUUGUCCGCAUGGAAUAUGCAGAGCACAGCACUCAUAUACUCAUAUUAGUGGUGUCUGGAAUAACCAUCAGGGUUAUUGCUGUCAUGUUUUCUGUGUCACCCAGCAGAGUUCACUGCGGUCAAGUGAGCCGACAGUCACGCCAGCCGACGUUAGCUCUCUUUUAAAGAUUAGCUUCGCACAUACAAGGUGCAUUACGGUAAUAGAGCAGACCAGAUGCUUAUCCAGGCAACACUUGAGAAAUUAAGAGGAAAACAGAAGAGUCACCUUAAGAACAUUUAUAUUAAUGACAUAUUUACAACUUUCACAUACAUGUUUGUGUAAAAAAUAAAUAUUUAAUAAUUUUACUGUAGAUUUUUGGAGAAAUAAUGGGUCAAAGUACCUACUAAUGCUAAUCUGUUAUAUACCUUUGUGUCACUUUCAGCAAUUUAUUUCUCCAGAAUGAGAGGUGACAACAUGAUCUCUUCAGAUUAUGUCAGAUGGUCAUCUAUACCAGUGUUUCCCAACCCUGCUCCUCAAGCACCCCUGACCUACAUGUUUUAGAUGUGGCUCUGUUACAGCACACCAUAUUUAAAUGAUUGCAUGACCUCCUCAGCAGCCAUCAGGGCUACAGAAACCUGAAAAUCACUUUCAUUUAAAUCAGGUGUGAGGAGCACCUCACACCUGACACUAAUCAAUACUAUAACCAGUGUACUUUAGAAUGCAUAUACUGAAUAUGUUUCAUUUUUGUAAAGUUAAUAAGUACAUUUGAUGUCCAGGGAUAAAGGCAAGUAACAUUCUUUAUACAACAUGUAUUUUAUUCAACAUAGCUUUUAAUAGUAAACAACUUUGCAAAUGUUUUAUUUAAGAUAAAGGGAAAGUUUUUAAAAAAAGGAACAGUUAUUAAUCCAAAAAAUAAUCUAAAUCUAACUUGGAAAAAAGAAUGCAACAACUUCAAUACCUGAUGUUUGAAGAUUUGUACUUAAAUUAUCAUUGCUUAGUUUAAAAAGGUUCUUUGUCCUUAUGAUUUACCAUUAAAAGACAUUUUCAUUUAUUUAGUUUGGAGAACUUUGGUAGAACUUUGAAUACUGUUCACAUUUAUCUUUCAAGUACUUUUAUGAACUAUUAACAGAAUUGUCAUCUUGUCUUAGAGUUGCAUUUGGGUUGUUGCUUGGGAGACAGAGCAGGAACUUGUGUGCGUAGGAAGAGUACUGUUUGCACCCCAGACAAUCUUCGUGUCCUCGAAUGCCAGAUGUGGAUGUGUGUGCUGUAUCAGUAUCUGGACAGAACCAGUUUUAUUCAGUAGGACUUGUAUUUGUGAAACUGUGUGUAGCCACACCCACGAUGCUGUAACAUGAGUGUUUUUUUUUCCCUUUCUUUAAUAAAAGGCUGUAACACAGGGCAGAUCCUCUGAAAGAAUGGUCUGUCUC
Long non-coding RNA from Girardinichthys multiradiatus, 3235 nucleotides. RefSeq lists it as uncharacterized. The transcript has 3 exons. The record is from RefSeq and is a predicted model, not a curated record. Lineage: Eukaryota; Metazoa; Chordata; Actinopteri; Cyprinodontiformes; Goodeidae.